This 436-nucleotide long non-coding RNA is filed under the name Chloebia gouldiae (Gouldian finch). Its description in RNAcentral is "Erythrura gouldiae (Gouldian finch) lncRNA (ENSEGOG00005014000.1)". Lineage: Eukaryota; Metazoa; Chordata; Aves; Passeriformes; Passeridae. The record is from RNAcentral.
GGAUCUUACACAGACUUUGCAGGACAGAGCUGCCCUCGCACAGCAAAGCAGAGGGAAUCUGAGAACUAAACAAGAGGCACCACCGCUGACUUCGUGUUUGCCCAAACCCUCACUCUGAUAUCCAGCUCAAGCUGUCUGUCUGUCUGUGCAGGACCUGUCACGCUCCAGAAACAACUCCAAACAAAGAAAAGCUAGCCUGGUUGAGCAGUGAUGGAUGGAGCUCAGGAGCUGGGGUGACAGCAGCAUUUAUUUUCUCUCAGGGCGACUGAAAUAAGAGCCUCAUUUCAGGUGUUGGACGAAUCUUUGUGCAGUUCAACCACUGCACGUGGCAAGGAGAGUCCUGAGAGGACUCUGGAUGAAUCCUGUGUGCUUUUGACAAGGAACUGAGAGGCCACUGAUAGUUUCUGCUCUUAAUUUACUCUGCAGAAAUGCCUCU